AUGUAGGAAAACAUGGUUAAUUUGCUUAGUUCCUUGGGCUCAUUAAAUUGGCUCAACGGCUGGAUUUAAAAUAACUGAGCUGAUAUAUCAGCCACAAAUAAUUUUUUUGCCAGAAACAGCAGCAGUGUACUCUGUAACUCCAAUGCUAGAUUUCCCUGUGACAUACUGCCCUCUUGUGCAUCAGUAGCUUUCUUAUAGAGAUAAUCUAAGAGCAAGACACUCAUUCAAUAAACGAAAGUUCUCAGACUCUCUCUUGAUCUCCUUUGACUUUUUUAAAAUUUUUCCAGAAUGAAUGCAACUUCUUAGGUCGUGAUGAAGAGGCAACACAGACUGGGCUUGUCCAGCCUGGAGAAGUGAAGACCAAAAGGAGAUCCUACUGCCAUGAGAGGAAGUGGGGAGCAGACUGGACAGAGUUGAGGGAGGAGGACCAGAAAGAACUGAACCGAGUUUUCUGUGACCUGGGAAGCCAGAACAUGAAGAUCCGAAGGUUUUAGUCAGAAUUAGCUGCUCCUGAAAUGUUUCUUUCCAGCUGGCUGUUACUGAGGUGGUGCAUGGUAUGUGAUGCUGCAUAUAAAAUAUUGACAGUGCAUACAAAAAACCAUUCACACUAAAUAUUUUCUAGGUGGUAAUCACAAGAAGUCCGAGCACAAGACACACAGAAUUGGUGCUUUGGUACUCGUACCUGGAACCCAGCUAAACUGGUCUUGAGGCCACAGCCCUUGCUCUUUCUUUUUCCAGCCUUCCAUUCAGUACUGAGCAGCUCUCAUUCAAAGUCCUCUUUCUGAGAUAUCUCCCAGUCUGUCACACAGUUGAUACUCUGUGCCUCUAAGAAGACAGAUCUUUGCUACAAGCCUGACAAUAAAAUAAUAUGACAUUUUCCUGCA
This 884-nucleotide long non-coding RNA is filed under the name Junco hyemalis (dark-eyed junco). RNAcentral's name for it is "lncRNA (ENSJHYG00000005177.1)". The record is from RNAcentral. Lineage: Eukaryota; Metazoa; Chordata; Aves; Passeriformes; Passerellidae.